Ciona intestinalis (vase tunicate) is the source of this 291-nucleotide non-coding RNA. The record is from RefSeq and is a predicted model, not a curated record. NCBI's taxonomy places the organism in Eukaryota, Metazoa, Chordata, Ascidiacea, Phlebobranchia, Cionidae.
AUAUUUAAAGUCAGAGUAGAAAAUAAAGCAAUGCAUGUUAAACUGUUGAUUAUGCUGUGCAUAGUGUUAGUGCAAUCGCUUGUAUCUCAAGCUACAGAAGAUUGGGAGGCCUGCGGAUACGAACCGGAUACUUUUAAACGAAGCAACUAUGACAACUUCGCUGUAAGGCCUCGAAACAAAGAUAUGAAUGACGUAUUGUGCAAAAGAUAACAAGAGCGUACAAUGCUCCAGCCGGAACCCGUAAACCAUUUGUGUUUUUUAUUCAAGUUAAAUACACAACACAUAUGGGUA